RNAcentral lists this ribosomal RNA (1134 nucleotides) under uncultured organism. RNAcentral describes it as "bacterial SSU rRNA". It matches the Rfam family "Bacterial small subunit ribosomal RNA", at positions 238 to 1387 of the family's 1533-position model. The record is from RNAcentral.
CCAUCAGCUUGUUGGCGGGGUAACGGCCCACCAAGGCGACGACGGGUAGGUGGUCUGAGAGGAUGGUCACCCACACUGGGACUGAGAUACUGCCCAGACUCCUACGGGAGGCUGCAGUCGAGAAUCAUCCGCAAUGGGCGAAAGCCUGACGGUGCAAUGCCGCGUGGGGGAUGAAGGCCUUCGGGUCGUAAACCCCUGUCAGAGGGGACGAAAAACAUGACGGUACCCUCAGAGGAAGCCACGGCUAACUACGUGCCAGCAGCCGCGGUAAUACGUAGGUGGCGAGCGUUAUUCGGAUUUACUGGGCGUAAAGGGUCCGCAGGGGGUUUGCCGAGUCCGAUGUGAAAGUCCGCAGCUCAACUGCGGAACUGCGUCGGAUACUGGUGAACUUGAGUGCGCGAAGGGCGAGCGGAAUUCCAGGUGUAGCGGUGGAAUGCGUAGAUAUCUGGAAGAACACCGGCGGCGAAAGCGGCUCGCUGGCGCGCCACUGACCCUCAUGGACGAAAGCGUGGGGAGCGAACAGGAUUAGAUACCCUGGUAGUCCACGCUGUAAACGGUGCAGACUCGAUGCGGGGGGCGGUCCCCUCCGUGUCUAAGCCAACGCGUUAAGUCUGCCGCCUGGGGACUACGGCCGCAAGGCUAAAACUCAAAGGAAUUGACGGGGGCCCGCACAAGCGGUGGAGCAUGUGGCUUAAUUCGAGGCAACGCGAAGAACCUUACCCGGGCUUGACAUAUUCCGGACCGCCUGUGAAAGCAGGUUUUCCCUUCGGGGACCGGUAUACAGGUGCUGCAUGGCUGUCGUCAGUUCGUGCCGUGAGGUGUUCGGUUAAGUCCGGCAACGAGCGCAACCCGUAUCGUCAGUUGCCAUCAGGUAAUGCUGGGCACUCUGGCGAGACUGCCCGUGUCAAGCGGGAGGAAGGCGCGGACGACGUCAAGUCCGUAUGGCCCUUACGCCCGGGGCUGCACACGUGCUACAAUGGGCGGUACAGUGGGAAGCGAAACCGCGAGGUGAAGCGAAUCCCCAAAACCGCCCCCAGUUCGGAUCGGAGUCUGCAAUUCGACUCCGUGAAGUCGGAAUCGCUAGUAAAGGCGCAUCAGCAACGGCGCCUUGAAUUCGUUCCCGGGCCUUGUACA